Molecule: ribosomal RNA, 393 nt
Filed under: Triticum aestivum (bread wheat)
Lineage: Eukaryota; Viridiplantae; Streptophyta; Magnoliopsida; Poales; Poaceae
Description: partial small subunit ribosomal RNA
Source: RNAcentral
AUGAUGACAAGUACACUGAGGCGGCACAAGGGUUCUGGAGAGGGGCUUGCGGACCACAAGGACCGACUUGGAGCUCCUCUCUGCCCUCGCAGGCAUUACGAUGACGAGGCCGCCGAGGCAGCGCAAAGGUUUUGGAACUGUCUGUGUGUUCUCAUGCAAGAAAGCUUGCUUGCUAUGUCCUUAUUAUUUUGGCAGCAUACCAAGCUAUGCAUGCUUCUCAGCUGCAGGUGUUCCCAAAUGCUGCUGACAACCAGAUGCAAGUGGGUACCCGUGUGUUGCAAGGUGAACCUGAGAUGGCAACAGACAGCAAGUUCCUGGGCGAGUUUGACCUCAUCGUCAUCCCGCCAGCACCAAGGGCCACACACACAGAUCGAGGUGGACACCGUCGCCUAA